UUUCUCUGCAGACGCCUUCUGGCAAGAGGGGAGAGCCUCUGGAACAGUGUACAGUGGGGAGGAGAAGCUCACUGAGCUCCUUGUGAAGGCUUAUGGAGAUUUUGCAUGGAGUAACCCCCUGCAUCCAGAUAUCUUCCCAGGACUACGCAAGAUAGAGGCAGAAAUUGUGAGGAUAGCUUGUUCCCUGUUCAAUGGGGGACCAGAUUCGUGUGGAUGUGUGACUUCUGGGGGAACAGAAAGCAUACUGAUGGCCUGCAAAGCAUAUCGGGAUCUGGCCUUUGAGAAGGGGAUCAAAACUCCAGAAAUUGUGGCUCCCCAAAGUGCCCAUGCUGCAUUUAACAAAGCAGCCAGUUACUUUGGGAUGAAGAUUGUGCGGGUCCCAUUGACGAAGAUGAUGGAGGUGGAUGUGCGGGUGAGUCCCUCUGGAGGGCCCACUGUCUGUGCUGGGCUCUGACAGCAGAAGGGUCCUCUUGUUGACUAGCUGUUUCCAGUCAGAUGGGUCUGACUGCCUUUGAUUGUGGCAGCCAGAAUAUGAAAAACU
RNAcentral lists this small RNA (541 nucleotides) under Pan troglodytes (chimpanzee). Its description in RNAcentral is "retained intron". Lineage: Eukaryota; Metazoa; Chordata; Mammalia; Primates; Hominidae. The record is from RNAcentral.